GACGAACGCUGGCGGCGUGCUUAACACAUGCAAGUCGAACGGAAAGGCCCUGCUUUUGUGGGGUGCUCGAGUGGCGAACGGGUGAGUAACACGUGAGUAACCUGCCCUUGACUUUGGGAUAACUUCAGGAAACUGGGGCUAAUACCGGAUAGGAGCUCCUGCUGCAUGGUGGGGGUUGGAAAGUUUCGGCGGUUGGGGAUGGACUCGCGGCUUAUCAGCUUGUUGGUGGGGUAGUGGCUUACCAAGGGUUUGACGGGUAGCCGGCCUGAGAGGGUGACCGGCCACAUUGGGACUGAGAUACGGCCCAGACGCGUACGGGAGGCAGCAGUGGGGAAUAUUGCACAAUGGGCGGGAGCCUGAUGCAGCAACGCCGCGUGCGGGAUGACGGCCUUCGGGUUGUAAACCGCUUUCGCCUGUGACGAAGAGUGAGUGACGGUAAUGGGUAAAGAAGCACCGGCUAACUACGUG
Molecule: ribosomal RNA, 468 nt
Filed under: uncultured bacterium
Lineage: Bacteria
Description: partial 16S ribosomal RNA
Rfam family: Bacterial small subunit ribosomal RNA
Source: RNAcentral